RNAcentral lists this ribosomal RNA (800 nucleotides) under uncultured bacterium. RNAcentral describes it as "bacterial SSU rRNA". It matches the Rfam family "Bacterial small subunit ribosomal RNA", at positions 43 to 851 of the family's 1533-position model. The record is from RNAcentral.
GGGGAAGGCUAAAUGGCAGUCGAACGGACUCAUAUUGAAACCUAGUGAUUUAUGAGUUAGUGGCGGACGGGUGAGUAACGCGUGGAUAACCUGCCGUAUACCGGGGGAUAACACUUAGAAAUAGGUGCUAAUACCGCAUAAGCGCACGGCUCCGCAUGGGGCAGUGUGAAAAACUCCGGUGGUAUACGAUGGAUCCGCAUCUGAUUAGCUAGUUGGCGGGGUAACGGCCCACCAAGGCAGCGAUCAGUAGCCGGCCUGAGAGGGUGGACGGCCACAUUGGGACUGAGACACGGUCCAAACUCCUACGGGAGGCAGCAGUGGGGAAUACUGCACAAUGGGGGAAACCCUGAUGCAGCGACGCCGCGUGAGUGAAGAAGUAUCUCGGUACGUAAAGCUCUAUCAGCAGGGAAGAAAAUGACGGUACCUGACCAAGAAGCCCCGGCUAACUACGUGCCAGCAGCCGCGGUAAUACGUAGGGGGCAAGCGUUAUCCGGAUUUACUGGGUGUAAAGGGAGCGUAGACGGCAGCACAAGUCUGGAGUGAAAUCCCGGGGCUUAACCCCGGAACUGCUUUGGAAACUGUGCGGCUGGAGUGCAGGAGGGGUAAGCGGAAUUCCUAGUGUAGCGGUGAAAUGCGUAGAUAUUAGGAGGAACACCGGUGGCGAAGGCGGCUUACUGGACUGUAACUGACGUUGAGGCUCCAAAGCGUGGGGAGCAAACAGGAUUAUAUACCCUGGUUGUCCACGCCGUAAAAGAUGAUUACUAGGGUGUCGGGGGACCAAGGGUCCUCCGGUGCCGGCG